GGGCCCAUAGCUCAGUGGUUAGAGCAGGCGACUCAUAAUCGCUUGGUCGUAGGUUCAAGUCCUACUGGGCCCACCA
RNAcentral lists this transfer RNA (76 nucleotides) under Pedosphaera parvula Ellin514. RNAcentral's name for it is "tRNA-Met". It matches the Rfam family "tRNA". Rfam says of the family: Transfer RNA (tRNA) molecules are approximately 80 nucleotides in length. Their secondary structure includes four short double-helical elements and three loops (D, anti-codon, and T loops). Further hydrogen bonds mediate the characteristic L-shaped molecular structure. tRNAs have two regions of fundamental functional importance: the anti-codon, which is responsible for specific mRNA codon recognition, and the 3' end, to which the tRNAs corresponding amino acid is attached (by aminoacyl-tRNA synthetases). tRNAs cope with the degeneracy of the genetic code in two manners: having more than one tRNA (with a specific anti-codon) for a particular amino acid; and 'wobble' base-pairing, i.e. permitting non-standard base-pairing at the 3rd anti-codon position. RNAcentral also lists the same sequence under 2 other names. Lineage: Bacteria; Pseudomonadati; Verrucomicrobiota; Pedosphaerae; Pedosphaerales; Pedosphaeraceae. The record is from RNAcentral.